RNAcentral lists this transfer RNA (72 nucleotides) under Camelus bactrianus (Bactrian camel). It matches the Rfam family "tRNA". Rfam says of the family: Transfer RNA (tRNA) molecules are approximately 80 nucleotides in length. Their secondary structure includes four short double-helical elements and three loops (D, anti-codon, and T loops). RNAcentral also lists the same sequence under 2 other names. Lineage: Eukaryota; Metazoa; Chordata; Mammalia; Artiodactyla; Camelidae. The record is from Rfam by way of RNAcentral.
GAGGGUGUAGCUCCGUGGUAGAGCGCUUGCUUAGCAUGCACAGGGUCCUGGGUUCAAUCCCCAGCACCUCCA